RNAcentral lists this ribosomal RNA (978 nucleotides) under Menisporopsis pandanicola. RNAcentral describes it as "SSU rRNA". It matches the Rfam family "Eukaryotic small subunit ribosomal RNA", at positions 75 to 1061 of the family's 1831-position model. The record is from RNAcentral. Lineage: Eukaryota; Fungi; Ascomycota; Sordariomycetes; Chaetosphaeriales; Chaetosphaeriaceae.
UAUACCGCGAAACUGCGAAUGGCUCAUUAAAUCAGUUAUCGUUUAUUUGAUAGUGCCUUUCCUACUUGGAUAACCGUGGUAAUUCUAGAGCUAAUACAUGCUAAAAAUCCCGACUUCGGAAGGGAUGCAUUUAUUGGAUACAGAACCAACGCCCUCCGGGGCUUUCUGGUGAAUCACAAUAACUCCGCGGAUCGCACGGCCUUGCGCCGGCGAUGGUUCAUUCAAAUUUCUGCCCUAUCAACUUUCGACGGCUGGGUCUUGGCCAGCCGUGGUGACAACGGGUAACGGAGGGUUAGGGCUUGACCCCGGAGAAGGAGCCUGAGAGACGGCUACUACAUCCAAGGAAGGCAGCAGGCGCGCAAAUUACCCAAUCCCGACUCGGGGAGGUAGUGACAAUAAAUACUGAUCCAGGGCUCUUUUGGGUCUUGGAAUUGGAAUGAGUACAAUUUAAAUCCCUUAACGAGGAACAAUUGGAGGGCAAGUCUGGUGCCAGCAGCCGCGGUAAUUCCAGCUCCAAUAGCGUAUAUUAAAGUUGUUGAGGUUAAAAAGCUCGUAGUUGAACCUUGGCCCUGGCUGGCUGGUCCGCCUCACCGCGAGCACUGGUCCGGCCGGGGCUUUCCCUCUGGGGAUCCUCAUGCCCUUCACUGGGUGUGCUGGGGAACCAGGACUUUUACUGUGAACAAAUCAGAUCGCUCAAAGAAGGCUCUCGCUCGAAUGCUUCAGCAUGGAAUAAUGAAAUAGGACGCGCGGUUCUAUUUUGUUGGUUUCUAGGACCGCCGUAAUGAUUAAUAGGGACAGUCGGGGGCGUCAGUAUUCAAUUGUCAGAGGUGAAAUUCUUGGAUCAAUUGAAGACUAACUACUGCGAAAGCAUUCGCCAAGGAUGUUUUCAUUAAUCAGGAACGAAAGUUAUGGGAUCGAAGACGAUCAGAUACCGUCGUAGUCUUAACCAUAAACUAUGCCGAUUAGGGAUCGGACGAU